CCCUUAGAUGUUCUGGGCCGCACGCGCGCUACACUGAUGAAUGCAACGAGCUCUACCCUUGACCGAAAGGCCCGGGUAAACUUGUGAAACUUCAUCGUGAUGGGGAUAGAUUAUUGCAAUUAUUAAUCUUCAACGAGGAAUUCCUAGUAAGCGCGAGUCAUCAGCUCGCGUUGAUUACGUCCCUGCCCUUUGUACACACCGCCCGUCGCUCCUACCGAUUGAAUGCUCAGGUGAGCCAUUCGGACUUUCAUCAUGCUGGUUUCCAGUUUUGAUGAAGGAAAGUCUUGCGAACCUUAUCAUUUAGAGGAAGGAGAAGUCGUAACA
Molecule: ribosomal RNA, 324 nt
Filed under: uncultured eukaryote
Lineage: Eukaryota
Description: partial 18S ribosomal RNA
Rfam family: Eukaryotic small subunit ribosomal RNA
Source: RNAcentral